This 71-nucleotide transfer RNA is filed under the name Marmota monax (woodchuck). It matches the Rfam family "tRNA". Rfam says of the family: Transfer RNA (tRNA) molecules are approximately 80 nucleotides in length. Their secondary structure includes four short double-helical elements and three loops (D, anti-codon, and T loops). The record is from Rfam by way of RNAcentral. Lineage: Eukaryota; Metazoa; Chordata; Mammalia; Rodentia; Sciuridae.
GGGGCCGUGGCUCAGUGGUAGAGCGCCCGCCUGGCACGUGUGAGGUGCUGGGUUCUAUCCUCAGCACCCCA